GAUCAUGGCUCAGGAUGAACGCUGGCGGCGUGCCUAACACAUGCAAGUCGAGCGAAGCAAUCGAGAUGAAGUUUUCGGAUGGAUUCCUGAUUGACUGAGCGGGCGGACGGGUGAAGGUAACGCGUGGGUAACCUGCCUCAUACAGGGGGGAUAACAGUUAGAAAUGACUGCUAAUACCGCAUAAGCGCACAGUACCACAUGGUACGGUGUGAAAAACUCCGGU
This 223-nucleotide ribosomal RNA is filed under the name uncultured bacterium. RNAcentral's name for it is "partial 16S ribosomal RNA". It matches the Rfam family "Bacterial small subunit ribosomal RNA", at positions 15 to 216 of the family's 1533-position model. The record is from RNAcentral.